RNAcentral lists this ribosomal RNA (428 nucleotides) under uncultured delta proteobacterium. RNAcentral describes it as "partial 16S ribosomal RNA". It matches the Rfam family "Bacterial small subunit ribosomal RNA", at positions 1071 to 1500 of the family's 1533-position model. Lineage: Bacteria; Deltaproteobacteria. The record is from RNAcentral.
GGUGUUGGGUUAAGUCCCGCAACGAGCGCAACCCCUAUGUUUAGUUGUCAGCAUUCAGUUGGGCACUCUAGACAGACUGCCGGUGUUAAACCGGAGGAAGGUGGGGAUGACGUCAAGUCCUCAUGGCCUUUAUAUNNAGGGCUACACACGUGCUACAAUGGUAGGUACAGAGGGAAGCAAGAGUGCAAACUGGAGCAAAUCCCAAAAAACCUANNNAAGUUCGGAUCGAAGNCUGCAACUCGNNNUCGUGAAGCUGGAAUCGCUAGUAAUCGUGGAUCAGAACGCCACGGUGAAUACGUUCCCGGGCCUUGUACACACCGCCCGUCACACCAUGAAAGUUGUGCCUACCAGAAGUCGCUGCGUUGACCGCAAGGAGACAGGCGCCCAAGGUAGGAGCGAUGAUUGGGGUGAAGUCGUAACAAGGUAAC